This 242-nucleotide ribosomal RNA is filed under the name uncultured bacterium. RNAcentral's name for it is "partial 16S ribosomal RNA". It matches the Rfam family "Bacterial small subunit ribosomal RNA", at positions 524 to 765 of the family's 1533-position model. The record is from RNAcentral.
UACAGAGGGUGCAAGCGUUAAUCGGAAUUACUGGGCGUAAAGCGCGCGUAGGUGGUUUGUUAAGUUGGAUGUGAAAUCCCCGGGCUCAACCUGGGAACUGCAUCCAAAACUGGCAAGCUAGAGUAUGGUAGAGGGUGGUGGAAUUUCCUGUGUAGCGGUGAAAUGCGUAGAAUAUAGGAAGGAACACCAGUGGUGAAGGCGACCACCUGGACUGAUACUGACAUGAGGUGCGAAAGCGUGGG